UGGUGUAUGUGCUUGGCUGAGGA
Molecule: non-coding RNA, 23 nt
Filed under: Xenopus tropicalis (tropical clawed frog)
Lineage: Eukaryota; Metazoa; Chordata; Amphibia; Anura; Pipidae
Also listed under: 4 other names
Source: RNAcentral